Molecule: ribosomal RNA, 443 nt
Filed under: uncultured bacterium
Lineage: Bacteria
Description: partial 16S ribosomal RNA
Rfam family: Bacterial small subunit ribosomal RNA
Source: RNAcentral
CCUACGGGUGGCAGCAGUGGGGAAUAUUGGGCAAUGGGCGCAAGCCUGAACCAGCAACGCCGCGUGAGGGAAGAAGGUCUUCGGGUUGUAAACUUCUUUUCUCAGGGAAGAAGAAAGUGACGGUACCUGCGGAAUAAGCCACGGCUAACUACGUGCCAGCAGCCGCGGUAAUCCGUAGGUGGCAAGCGUUAUCCGGAUUGACGGGGUGUAAAGGGUGUGUAGGCGGGACUGCAAGUCAGAUGUGAAAACCAGGGGCUCAACCUGUGGCCUGCAUUUGAAACUGUAGGUCUUGAGUACUGGAGAGGCAGACGGAAUUCCUAGUGUAGCGGUGAAAUGCGUAGAUAUUAGGAGGAACACCAGUGGCGAAGGCGGUCUGCUGGACAGCAACUGACGCUGAGGCGCGAAAGCGUGGGGAGCAAACAGGAUUAGAUACCCUUGUAGUC